Molecule: non-coding RNA, 55 nt
Organism: Dipodomys ordii (Ord's kangaroo rat)
Lineage: Eukaryota; Metazoa; Chordata; Mammalia; Rodentia; Heteromyidae
Source: Rfam
GGGAAGGUGGCUCAGUGGUAGAGCGCUUGCCUUGCAUGCAUGAGGCCCUAUUCCU